RNAcentral lists this ribosomal RNA (499 nucleotides) under uncultured bacterium. RNAcentral's name for it is "bacterial SSU rRNA". It matches the Rfam family "Bacterial small subunit ribosomal RNA", at positions 899 to 1397 of the family's 1533-position model. The record is from RNAcentral.
ACUCAAAGGAAUAGACGGGGACCCGCACAAGCAGCGGAGCAUGUGGUUUAAUUCGAAGCAACGCGAAGAACCUUACCAGGGCUUGACAUGCCCCUGACAGAUACAGAGAUGUAUCGUUACCUUCGGGUACAGGGGACACAGGUGGUGCAUGGUUGUCGUCAGCUCGUGUCGUGAGAUGUUGGGUUAAGUCCCGCAACGAGCGCAACCCUUGCCUUUAGUUGCUAACAUUAAGUUGAGAACUCUAGAGGGACUGCCGAUGACAAAUCGGAGGAAGGUGGGGAUGACGUCAAAUCAUCAUGCCCUUUAUGUCCUGGGCUACACACGUGCUACAAUGGUCGGUACAACGAGAAGCGACAUAGUGAUGUGAAGCAAAUCUCUAAAAGCCGAUCUCAGUUCGGAUUGCAGGCUGCAACUCGCCUGCAUGAAGUCGGAGUUGCUAGUAAUCGCGAAUCAGAAUGUCGCGGUGAAUGCGUUCCCGGGUCUUGCACACACCGCCCGU